CGCGUAAGUUCUUUGUAUUUGGUUAGAAUAAGAGAUAAAAACAGAACAAAUCAGAUUUUAUUACCUUACCUUGACAUGAUAUAAUAUACUUUUUGCCUCAUAUUCACAUCACUUUAUUUACUUAGUACCAAAUAUACAUUCACUGUAAACUUUUCCGUACGGCAUAUAGUUUCAGAUCUCAGGCCCUCUAAGUCACAACUUAGACAGUCACACUUGAAGAAAAAAAAACAAUUCUAAAUGAGCAAAGCUGAAUUCAAAAUGAGCAAAGCUGAAGGCAUUUUGAAACGCGGAGAUCGAAAGUGGAUCUUCAACCCUCGAGUUUGGGGCGGUCAUCUGAAGAAGGACCCUUCACUGGUGCUUCUGACUACUAUUGUGAGCGGAGCUUGUGCUGUGGCGGUCGUCGCUCUGAUCCGACACUCACUCUAUAACCCGGAUGUUCACUUUAGAGACAAGAGAACCCGAAGCACCUCUCGGUUCGACUACAACACUCGAUUUAAAUUUCUCAACCCCUCCGGCCGAGAUUACAAGAGUUACGUGAACUAUGAACCGAAACUGUAACACUUAUACGACUUGAAGACGACUUAGAUCCGGGUACCUUUGACUUAUAGAAGUAAAAUAGUGCAUAACUGGACUACAAUACUUAAAAGAGUAACACAGACUUUAUUUUCCUCGAAAUCAGACUAAGCUAUCAAUGCGUCUGGAAACUUACUUUGCUGUGAAUUAAUUUUGCAUCAAUGGGAUAUGGUCAAAAAUGAUCAAACCAAUUUUAAUUGUUUCCAAUGCAGAUACGGACAUACUGGACUGUAAACUUGAAAUUGAAUUAGAGAUCA
Symsagittifera roscoffensis is the source of this 830-nucleotide long non-coding RNA. RefSeq lists it as uncharacterized. The transcript is spliced from 3 exons. NCBI's taxonomy places the organism in Eukaryota, Metazoa, Xenacoelomorpha, Acoela, Convolutidae. The record is from RefSeq and is a predicted model, not a curated record.